Molecule: unclassified non-coding RNA, 60 nt
Filed under: Xenorhabdus bovienii str. Intermedium
Lineage: Bacteria; Pseudomonadati; Pseudomonadota; Gammaproteobacteria; Enterobacterales; Morganellaceae
Also listed under: 1 other name
Source: RNAcentral
CACCUUCAGGGUCAUGUGAAAGUACGACAUUGCUCACAUUGCUUCCAGUGUUUAUUUUAU